GGUUAAGUGACUAAGCGUACACGGUGGAUGCCUAGGCAGUCAGAGGCGAUGAAGGGCGUGCUAAUCUGCGAAAAGCGCCGGUAAGCUGAUAUGAAGCGUUAUCAGCCGGCGAUGUCCGAAUGGGGAAACCCAGUGCAAUUCGUUGCACUAUCGUUACGUGAAUCCAUAGCGUAACGAGGCGAACCGGGGGAACUGAAACAUCUCAGUACCCCGAGGAAAAGAAAUCAACCGAGAUUCCCCCAGUAGCGGCGAGCGAACGGGGAACAGCCCAGAACCACCAUCAGCUUUUGCAUCAGGAGAACGGUCUGGAAAGUCCGGCGACAGAGGGUGAUAGCCCCGUAUCCGAAGGUGCAGAGUUGUGGGUUCGAUGAGUAGGGCGGGACACGUGAUAUCCUGUCUGAAGAUGGGGGGACCAUCCUCCAAGGCUAAAUACUCCUGACUGACCGAUAGUGAACCAGUACCGUGAGGGAAAGGCGAAAAGAACCCCGGCGAGGGGAGUGAAACAGAACCUGAAACCGUGUACGUACAAGCAGUGGGAGCCCCUUGAGAAAUCAGGGUGACUGCGUACCUUUUGUAUAAUGGGUCAGCGACUUAUAUUCUGUAGCAAGGUUAACCGAAUAGGGGAGCCGUAGGGAAACCGAGUCUUAACUGGGCGUUAGUUGCAGGGUAUAGACCCGAAACCCGGUGAUCUAGCCAUGGGCAGGUUGAAGGUUGGGUAACACUAACUGGAGGACCGAACCGACUAAUGUUGAAAAAUUAGCGGAUGACUUGUGGCUGGGGGUGAAAGGCCAAUCAAACCGGGAGAUAGCUGGUUCUCCCCGAAAGCUAUUUAGGUAGCGCCUCGUGAAUUCAUCUUCGGGGGUAGAGCACUGUUUCGGCUAGGGGUCCACCCCGGAUUACCAACCCGAUGCAAACUGCGAAUACCGAAGAAUGUUAUCACGGGAGACACACGGCGGGUGCUAACGUCCGUCGUGAAGAGGGAAACAACCCAGACCGCCAGCUAAGGUCCCAAAGUCAUGGUUAAGUGGGAAACGAUGUGGGAAGGCACAGACAGCCAGGAUGUUGGCUUAGAAGCAGCCAUCAUUUAAAGAAAGCGUAAUAGCUCACUGGUCGAGUCGGCCUGCGCGGAAGAUGUAACGGGGCUAAACCAUGCACCGAAGCCGCGGCAGCGACACAAGUAUUUUAAGGAUAUGUCCGUUGGGUAGGGGAGCGUUCUGUAAGCCUGAGAAGGUGGCCUGUGAGGGUUGCUGGAGGUAUCAGAAGUGCGAAUGCUGACAUAAGUAACGAUAAAGCGGGUGAAAAGCCCGCUCGCCGGAAGACCAAGGGUUCCUGUUCAACGUUAAUCGGAGCAGGGUGAGUCGACCCCUAAGGCGAGGCCGAAAGGCGUAGUCGAUGGGAAACAGGUUAAUAUUCCUGUACUGGGUGUGACUGCGAAGGGGGGACGGAGAAAGCUAGACCGGCCGGGCGACGGUUGUCCCGGUUCAAGCGUGCAGGUGGAGAGGACAGGAAAAUCCGUUCUCUUAUAACACUGAGGCGUGAUGACGAGCCACUACGGUGGUGAAGGGGUUGAUGCUACGCUUCCAGGAAAAGCCUCUAAGCACCAGGUCACAUCGAAUCGUACCCCAAACCGACACAGGUGGUCAGGUAGAGAAUACCGAGGCGCUUGAGAGAACUCGGGUGAAGGAACUAGGCAAAAUGGUGCCGUAACUUCGGGAGAAGGCACGCUGGCGUUAGGUGGAGGGACUUGCUUCCCGAGCCGAAGCCAGUCGCAGAUACCAGCUGGCUGCAACUGUUUAUUAAAAACACAGCACUGUGCAAACACGAAAGUGGACGUAUACGGUGUGACGCCUGCCCGGUGCCGGAAGGUUAAUUGAUGGGGUUAUCCGUAAGGAGAAGCUCUUGAUCGAAGCCCCGGUAAACGGCGGCCGUAACUAUAACGGUCCUAAGGUAGCGAAAUUCCUUGUCGGGUAAGUUCCGACCUGCACGAAUGGCGUAAUGAUGGCCAGGCUGUCUCCACCCGAGACUCAGUGAAAUUGAACUCGCUGUGAAGAUGCAGUGUACCCGCGGCAAGACGGAAAGACCCCGUGAACCUUUACUAUAGCUUGACACUGAACAUUGAGCCUUGAUGUGUAGGAUAGGUGGGAGGCUUUGAAGUGUGGACGCCAGUCCGCAUGGAGCCAACCUUGAAAUACCACCCUUUAAUGUUUGAUGUUCUAACUCCGGCCCCUAAUCGGGGUCGAGGACAGUGUCUGGUGGGUAGUUUGACUGGGGCGGUCUCCUCCUAAAGAGUAACGGAGGAGCACGAAGGUUAGCUAAUCACGGUCGGACAUCGUGAGGUUAGUGCAAAGGCAUAAGCCAGCUUGACUGCGAGAGUGACGGCUCGAGCAGGUGCGAAAGCAGGUCAUAGUGAUCCGGUGGUUCUGAAUGGAAGGGCCAUCGCUCAACGGAUAAAAGGUACUCCGGGGAUAACAGGCUGAUACCGCCCAAGAGUUCAUAUCGACGGCGGUGUUUGGCACCUCGAUGUCGGCUCAUCACAUCCUGGGGCUGAAGUAGGUCCCAAGGGUACGGCUGUUCGCCGUUUAAAGUGGUACGCGAGCUGGGUUUAGAACGUCGUGAGACAGUUCGGUCCCUAUCUGCCGUGGGCGUUGGAAGAUUGAGGGGGUUGCUCCUAGUACGAGAGGACCGGAGUGGACGCACCACUGGUGUUCGGGUUGUCAUGCCAAUGGCAUUGCCCGGUAGCUACGUGCGGAAGAGAUAACCGCUGAAAGCAUCUAAGCGGGAAACUUGCCUCGAGAUGAGUCUUCCCUGUGACCUUGAGUCACCUGAAGGGACGUUAAAGACGAUGACGUUGAUAGGCCGGGUGUGUAAGCGCAGCGAUGCAUUGAGCUAACCGGUACUAAUGACCCGUGAGGCUUAACCUU
Molecule: ribosomal RNA, 2921 nt
Filed under: Pantoea sp.
Lineage: Bacteria; Pseudomonadati; Pseudomonadota; Gammaproteobacteria; Enterobacterales; Erwiniaceae
Description: 23S ribosomal RNA
Rfam family: Bacterial large subunit ribosomal RNA
Source: RNAcentral